Molecule: transfer RNA, 90 nt
Filed under: Dialister succinatiphilus
Lineage: Bacteria; Bacillati; Bacillota; Negativicutes; Veillonellales; Veillonellaceae
Also listed under: 1 other name
Description: tRNA-Ser
Rfam family: tRNA
About the family: Transfer RNA (tRNA) molecules are approximately 80 nucleotides in length.
Source: RNAcentral
GGAAGGGUGUCCGAGCGGUUGAUGGAGGCGGUCUUGAAAACCGUUAACUUCGUGAGAGGUUCAUGGGUUCGAAUCCCAUCCCUUCCGCCA